RNAcentral lists this ribosomal RNA (253 nucleotides) under uncultured bacterium. RNAcentral describes it as "partial 16S ribosomal RNA". It matches the Rfam family "Bacterial small subunit ribosomal RNA", at positions 524 to 776 of the family's 1533-position model. The record is from RNAcentral.
UACAGAGGGUGCAAGCGUUGUUCGGAAUUAUUGGGCGUAAAGCGCGUGUAGGCGGCAUUGCAAGUCGGGUGUGAAAGCCCUCAGCUUAACUGAGGAAGUGCGCCCGAAACUGCAGUGCUUGAGUACCGGAGAGGAUGGCGGAAUUCCCCAAGUAGAGGUGAAAUUCGUAGAUAUGGGGAGGAACACCGGUGGCGAAGGCGGCCAUCUGGACGGUCACUGACGCUGAGACGCGAAAGCGUGGGUAGCAAACAGG